This 438-nucleotide ribosomal RNA is filed under the name uncultured bacterium. Its description in RNAcentral is "bacterial SSU rRNA". It matches the Rfam family "Bacterial small subunit ribosomal RNA", at positions 29 to 506 of the family's 1533-position model. The record is from RNAcentral.
AUGAACGUUGGCGGUGCGCCUAAUACAUGCAAGUCGCGGGGUCUGGAGCAAUCCAGACACCGGCAAACGGGUCCGUAACACGUUGGAACCUGCCCUGAAGUGAGGGAUAACCCCGAGAAAUCGGGGCUAAUACCGCAUAUGGCUGCAAGGUUAAAGCAGCAAUGCGCUUCAGGAGGGGCCUGCGUCCUAUCAGCUUGUUGGCGAGGUAAUGGCUCACCAAGGCUUUGACGGGUAGCUGGUCUGAGAGGAUGAUCAGCGACAGGGGGACUGAGACACGGCUCCCACUCCUACGGGAGGCAGCAGUAAGGAAUCUUUCGCAAUGGGGGAAACCCUGACGAAGCGACACCGCGUGAAGGAUGAAGCCCGGAAGGGUGUAAACUUCUUUUUUGAGGGAAGAAUUUUGACGGUACCUCAAGAAUAAGCACCGGCUAACUCUGU